AUAGCGUAUAUUAAAGUUGUUGCAGUUAAAAAGCUCGUAGUUGAAUUUUGGGCCUGGCUGGGUGGUCUUGCCGCAAGGUAAGCACUGCUCUGGUUGGGUCUUUCCUUCUGGGGAACCAGCGUGCUCUUAAUUGAGUGCGUUGGGGAUCCAGGACUUUUACUUUGAAAAAAUUAGAGUGUUUAAAGCAGGCUUACGCUUGAAUACAUUAGCAUGGAAUAAUAGAAUAGGACUUUGGUUCUAUUUUGUUGGUUUCUAGGACCGAAGUAAUGAUUAAUAGGGAUAGUUGGGGGCAUUAGUAUUUAAUUGUCAGAGGUGAAAUUCUUGGAUUUAUUAAAGACUAACUUCUG
This 347-nucleotide ribosomal RNA is filed under the name uncultured eukaryote. RNAcentral describes it as "SSU rRNA". It matches the Rfam family "Eukaryotic small subunit ribosomal RNA", at positions 594 to 945 of the family's 1831-position model. The record is from RNAcentral.